GCCAGGUGUGGGAGUACAUGCCUGUAAUCCCAGCUAUUCAGGAGGCUGAGGCAGGAGGAUUGCAAGUUUGAGGCCAGCCUCAGCAACUUAAUGAGGCCCUAAGCAACUUAGCAAGACCCUGCUUCAA
RNAcentral lists this small RNA (127 nucleotides) under Marmota monax (woodchuck). The record is from RNAcentral. Lineage: Eukaryota; Metazoa; Chordata; Mammalia; Rodentia; Sciuridae.